Long non-coding RNA from Gasterosteus aculeatus aculeatus (three-spined stickleback), 427 nucleotides. NCBI's taxonomy places the organism in Eukaryota, Metazoa, Chordata, Actinopteri, Perciformes, Gasterosteidae. The record is from Ensembl.
AGCUUUUGGCCAAAAGAGAGGGACCAACGGAGAGUGGCUACACUUAUGCAAUGGAAAGAAGACGAGGGAAAGCUGGACCGAACGGAAGGAAAGAGGAGAGCUUUAUUUCAAGGAAACUGCUGCAAACCGGCGCUGAGGGAAAACCUGCCACUUUGAAAUAAGAGGGGCGGCGACAGAACCAGAGCAGUGGGCCGGGCCUGUGGUGCUACUCUGAGAAGAAGAAACCCGGCGCCUGGAAACAAAUGUUACGGCACGUGAUGCUUUGUUGUGUUCUGCUGCCGUGGCAACAGCGAAGAUCACAAGGGGGGCGCCCCCACUCUGAAAUUCCUUCCCCCUCCCUGGAAAAGUGUGGAAUAAAAAACACGCACAGCAGUUCCACACUGAUACGUGCGUGAAUGUACGUGUGGCAGCACGGAGAACACGGGCG